This 5127-nucleotide long non-coding RNA is filed under the name Homo sapiens (human). RNAcentral describes it as "HSALNT0225950". Lineage: Eukaryota; Metazoa; Chordata; Mammalia; Primates; Hominidae. The record is from RNAcentral.
CUCUGGGACAAACCAGCUUCUAUGUCAUGAGCACACUCAGGCAGCUCAUUGGAGAGAUCUGCAUGGUAAAGCAAUGAGGCCUCCUGCCAGCAGCCAUGUGAGUGGCAUCUUGGAGCCAGACCCUCCAGCCCCAGUCAAGCCUUCGGAUGCCUGCAGCCCUGGCUGACAUUUUAACCACAACUUCAUGAGAGAUUCUGAGCCAGAAUCACCCAGCUAAGCUGCUCCCGGGUUGCCAGCUUCCAGAAUCACGGUAGGAUGACCUCUCUCCCCUGCUUGGAAGUUACGUAUAUCCACGCAACUUUGAAAUUGAGUAAGACUGGGAUGUGUCAUCCCCAAGAGGGCACUUCAAGAGCCAGUGUGCCAUCACAACCUCUUUCUCUCCCUCUAUCAAACCAGUUGCCAGUGUUAUAAAUAAUGAGACCAUGCUCUAUCAGCUUGGGGCCAGGGGUUGGGGUGAUGUGGAGCAGAGCUGUUAGCUGACCCACCAUGGAUGUGUAGCAGCGGAAGAAGCAAGCCGUGUGCUGUUGAAGCACCCACAUUUUUGGUGUUACUGCAGCACAACCUGAACUAUACUGACUGAUGCAGGUGAGGAUACACAGGGAUCCUCUGUCCCUCCACCCCCAGCUCUUCAUGCUCUUUGGGCCCAGGAAAGCCAGUAUCUCCAUUGAGGUCAGCAGGAUCAUGCCCUUGAUGUGGGUUCCCUGUCCCCUGCCCAGGGGACCUCCACCGUGUCCACACCUGGAUAAAAAGUGAGGAGCUUGGUUCAGGAGUGGGCUGGGGGCCUGGCCUGGUCAUCACGACCUCUCUGUUUAGAACCCUGUGGAUGGGAAAGGCUUACAUGGCAGUAAGAGGAGUUGAAGGUGUUAAGUAACGGCCCGUGUGAUCCAGUUCUGAAAACCACAAAGUCAACAGUGAUUGAUCCUUUGCUUUCUUUUCCAGAACCAUAGAGAAUUUGGGGAAAAUACUGUCUGGCCACCCAGAAAACAAAGACCAGAGAGUGACAAGAGGCGACGGGGAGGAAACGGUGCCACCACCAAGGUCUCAGCCUGGGCCCAGGUCGAGGAAGGCCUUUGUCCUGCAGAACAAAAGCCACUGUUUGCACGUGUUAAACUUCAUCAAACUUCAACAGACCCAGGUGCAAAACCCCACAUCCCAAAUGCCAUCCGGGCUUAUGCCACCUUCCCGAGCAUGGACCGUCCCUAGCCGUCAACCCUAAUCAGGGCCAUGCCCUACAUCAAAGCUGCACUCCCUCCACAGACAGCUUCUGCUCUGAGAUGCAUUGUUCCUAUGACUUCCUACACUCCGCCCUUGUCUGACGAAUUAGGGCACGGAGCCCCCCCAUGGCACAGCUGGGCCCUGCUGGCAUUGUUAAUGAGGUAGGAAGGGCGCGUUUGUCUGAGCCUGGGACUAACAUAAUCACAUAAAGUUGUUGCUUUGGAAUAGAUGGAGCUGCCCCAGAGUCGAUUUUCUUGGAAGCAACGCAAAGCACAGCUUCCUGGGAGAAGACACAAUGCCUCCUAUUGUCUCUGCCACUUCCCCUCCAGCCUCCCAGCAUUUCUGCGUCUCCUCGGGAGCCACUGCCCUGUGCAAGAGCUGUUUGCUGAUGCCCAGCCGCGGCUUCCAAAACUCCCGCGAGAAGUCGUUUCUGUCCACAGUCAUUGUUUCCAGACCAGCCGAGCCAACUGGGGAGGAGAGGCCAAGCCCAGGGAGAGCAUCUCAAGGACUUGGGCAGCUUCUGGAAGUGGCUGAGACUGGAAGAAUGUUGUCACACCUACCAGAUAUCCCUACGUGUAUCUCUACCACCCCCACUACAUAUUCUGAAGAACCAAGGUGAGCUGGGGGAAUCCCCAGGCCAGCAGGGCAAGGCCUGGGCAGGAAUGGAGUGAGGAAGUGAGAAGUGGGGAUCUUGGGGGUGGGCGGGCUGUGGGGCUGGGCUGUGCUGCACACUGGGCAGGAGGCAGGAGAUGGCAAUGGAAGCGACAGCUCCCCAUCUUCCCCGGCUGCAUACGUGAGGGAUUCUGCUGCAUUCACUGAGUCACCAAAGGACACUGGAAGGCCAUCAGGAUUUUUGGGUGACCAAGACAUGGCUCCCCUCUUACUGCCUGUGGGGAGACAGGCAUGUGAACACCCAAGUCUAACCCAAGCUGAGUUGACUGAGGGCCAUUUAAAGAUUCCACAGAGGCUGAGAGCAGUGGCUCAUGCCUGUAAUCCCAGCACUUUGGGAGGCCAAGGCAGGUGGAUCACUUGAGGUCAGGAGCUCGAGACCAGCCUGGCCAACAUGGUGAAACCCCGUCUCUACUAAAAAUACAAAAAUUAGCCAGGCAUGGUGGUGCACACCAGUAGUCCCAGCUACUCAGGAGGCUGAGGCAGGAGAAUCGCUGGAACCCAGGAGGCAAAGGUUGCAGUGAGCCACGAUCACACCACAGUACUCCAGCCUAGGUGACAGAGCGAGACUCCGUCUCGAAAAUAAACAAAUAAAGAAAGGUUCCAAGGAUGGUCUGGAGGACAAACAAAGGAGGAGAUUUGGUGCAGGAGUUAGGACAAAGACUCCUGGGACAGCAGCCCUCACUUGGGGCCAUAGUGAAUGAAUGGGGGCCUUUUGCAGAAGGGAAAUGGAGGACAUGUGUGGUGAAGGCUUUGCUGAAGCAUCUCUUAUAAAAGGGGCAAAAGCACUUGCUCUCCUCCCAGCUCUGGCUCAGCCUCUCUCUCUUCAAGUCCCUGGCAUCCCUGGAAAACCAUGAUUUUUCCAUUCUGCAGCCAGCCCAGGCACCUCCUCCCACCCCCGCACACUGCAGUCUGGUGUGUGUGGUGGGCACACAUAGAACACUUGCUGGUCUUGAAAAUGAAGCCAUCUUUUGGGGCCCCUAGAAAUCAAAGAGACCCACUUAGCCAAGAUAUCACUCUUGGACACCAGCAAGGGUGAGAUCACUUGAUAGGUAUUUUGCCGUGUGUUUCUUUUUAACUAUAUAAAAAACAAAAGGGUGGAUGUGCAAACCCAACCCAAGAAUACCUUGGCUCAGGCUCAACUAGAUGAAACUUUUAAAAAUGAUUUAAUGUUAUGUUAGACUGUUGCAUAUUAAAGCGAUGUAAUGCCUUCUAAGAAACGAGAGUCAGAUCCUGAAAGCGAUGACUUGGGUAAAUGUAAGGAGUUAUAACUCACUUUUCAAGAGAGCAACUAUAAACAUUUUGCCCAAUAUGUACAGACCUCUAAUGACAGUGUGCAAAGACUCUUUCGUUCCCAGAUUAUGAGGCUGCCACUUUCUCCUCCCCUUCCUGAGCCGCACUUUUCUAAACAGCAACUGUCGGGGCAGGGGGAUGGGAAGCUCAUGAGAGAAGGAAAUAUUUGGGACCGUGUCGGCCAGUGGAAUGGGGCUUGUGGUCACCGUGUUACAGAGUCAAAUCACUUCCCAGUAAACACCAGUUUCCGAUGGCUCUCUGGCCAGGGUUGGCCGGGGACAAGCAGGGAGUAUAUGUGUCGGGUACGUUGCGUCACAAGCUGUGCAGCUGUGUAGGCCUCUCUGUCCAGAGGCAUUAAUGGAAAAUGAUUGGGCACCCAGCCCACAGCAGAUGCGCUGAGGAAUCCAGCCAGGGGGAGCUGGGAUGCAGUGGGAGAGGGGACACGCAGGGCCUGGCUGAGAAGCCUCGCGAGGUAACCACAGGCGGAAAUCUGAAAAAUGAAGACGUUCCCACCAGUUCCAGAAAACAGGGCUAACUUAAAAUGCAGCCCCUUUCCUUGAAGUGGGCUUGGCAGGCCCCAGGUGUUGAAAGGCAAAAGAAAAAAAAGAAAGAAAGAAAAAGAAAAAGAAAACAGCAUGUUUUACAUUUAUCUAGCCUGCAUUUCUAAUGGAGUUCCCUUCAGACCCCUCACGUGCUGAAUUGAUGUGUGAGAUCAGAACAAAAGGAAUUUCGAGGAAUCAUUGGUAUAGGCCCCAGAGCUAAGGAGAUUGCAAUUUGAAAAUACUGUUUCAUGCACUUAUUAGACUAAAUCAGCAAACAGAGAGCAGCGUGCCAGGUCCUCCUGGAAGUUGCCAGAAGUCUCAUGGCUGUAGCCUCCCUGGCUGCUGCUUCAGGGGGUCCCCUAGACCCCUCAACCCAGAAGAGGAAGGCAAGGAUCCAUCUCUCCUCGUUUUAAGAGUUCCUCUUUUCCCCGCUUUAUGUCUCAGAGCCCUAGCUCCUCCGUGUCCCUCAUCUGUCAAGUCUGCUCUCAGGGAAAAGCGGAAACUCACUCAGUCCCAAAGGUGAAUGGUAACCUCAGCUUCUUCUCAGGGUGGGAGGGGAGGCCGGUGUUUUCCCAGAUCCUAAGCUAAAGUAAGCUCCUGCUAAACAGAUGAGGGAAUUAUGCUGAGGGGGAAGAGGUUCACCCUGGACUCCUGUGAAUUCCUUGAAGGAUUCAUGAGAUUUCUCACCUCUGGGUUUUCUGUGGGGGUUGAGUCUCUCCAUCUGUAAUGCUCUUUGUCUAAUUGGCUCACACUUUCUUUCUGCUGAAUAAUGUCACUUCUGUGCUUGGGAGUGGUCCCUGGGGUAGAGGAUGCCAGUUGCCAAGCAAAACCUAUCCCCCUUUCUUCUUGACUGACAGACACUUAUAUUAUUGGGGCAGCUAAAGCACUACAUUUCCCAAGUUUACAGACAUCUGUGGCCAAGCGGGUGUAAGCAGAAGACUUUAGGGGUAGAGGAUGCCUCAGAGAAAGUUAUUCAAAAGGGGGAUAAUUAAAACAGGAGGUGAACUUUCUUCUUUGCCCUUCCCCCAUGGAAUGUGGCCAUGAUGGUUGGAGCUCCAGCAGCCAUCUUGGGACCAAUGUGAGGAUGGACAUUACAAGCUAAGAGGGCUGAGCAGAAAGAAAGAAGACAUCAGACUCUGAUGAGUGACUGUGGAGCUGCCUUGCCAGUCCUAGACUGCCCAAGGCCGUAUUUCUCUCAGGUGAAAAUAAACCUGUAUCCUCUUUAACUGAUGUUGUUUCUAGUCUUCAUCACUUGCAGCUGAACUAAACCAAAGUAAGCCCUCCCCUUUCUGCACUUCUCCAUACAACUACUCACACUUGCAGCCUCUCAUUCCAUGUCUGUCUUCUCCCCGCCAUGUACCAGCUAUGAGAUCAGUGGUUUGUCUGCAGUGCCGUCUGCAGGAGCCUC